RNAcentral lists this ribosomal RNA (450 nucleotides) under uncultured bacterium. RNAcentral describes it as "bacterial SSU rRNA". It matches the Rfam family "Bacterial small subunit ribosomal RNA", at positions 28 to 478 of the family's 1533-position model. The record is from RNAcentral.
GAUGAACGCUGGCGGCGUGCUUAACACAUGCAAGUCGAACGAAGCGCUUGGAUGGAAUUCUUCGGAAGGAAGCUCAAGUGACUGAGUGGCGGACGGGUGAGUAACGCGUGGGUAACCUGCCUCAUACAGGGGGAUAACAGUUAGAAAUGACUGCUAAUACCGCAUAAGCACACGUGAUCGCAUGAUCGAGUGUGAAAAACUCCGGUGGUAUGAGAUGGACCCGCGUCUGAUUAGCUAGUUGGUGGGGUAACGGCCCACCAAGGCGACGAUCAGUAGCCGGCCUGAGAGGGUGAACGGCCACAUUGGGACUGAGACACGGCCCAAACUCCUACGGGAGGCAGCAGUGGGGAAUAUUGCACAAUGGGGGAAACCCUGAUGCAGCGACGCCGCGUGAAGGAUGAAGUAUUUCGGUAUGUAAACUUCUAUCAGCAGGGAAGAAAAUGACGGUAC